GAUAAACGCUGGCGGCGUGCUUUAUGCAUGCAAGUCGAACGGUUCCGAUUUAUCGGAACAGUGGCAGACGGGUGAGUAACACGUAAGUAACCUGCCCCCAAGUAGGGAAUAACUCUGAGAAAUUGGAGCUAAUACCUUAUGUGUUGGUGAGGGUAAGGCCACAUCAAUAAAGUCUUAGGACGCUUGGGGAGGGGCUUGCGGCCGAUUAGCUAGUUGGUAGGGUAAUGGUCUACCAAGGCGAUGAUCGGUAGCUGGUUUGAGAGGACGGUCAGCCACACUGGGACUGAGACACGGCCCAGACUCCUACGGGAGGCAGCAGCAAGGAAUAUUGUGCAAUGGGCGAAAGCCUGACACAGCGACGCCGCGUGAGGGAUGAAGGCCUUCGGGUUGUAAACCUCUUUUCUCAGGGAAGAAAAAUGACGGUACCUGAGGAAUAAGUCUUGGCUAACUACGUGCCAGCAGCCGCGGUAAUACGUAGAAGGCAAGCGUUAUUCGGAUUUAUUGGGCGUAAAGAGGGCGUAGGCGGCUUUUCAAGUCGGAUGUAAAAUCUCCCGGCUCAACUGGGAGGGACCAUGCGAUACUGUUAGGCUAGAGGGCAGCAGAGGGAGGUGGAAUUCCCGGUGUAGUGGUGAAAUGCGUAGAUAUCGGGAGGAACACCAGUGGCGAAGGCGGCCUCCUGGGCUGUUUCUGACGCUGAGGCCCGUAAGCGUGGGGAGCGAACAGGAUUAGAUACCCUGGUAGUCCACGCCGUAAACGUUGGGCGCUAGAUGUGGGGACCAUUCCACGGUUUCCGUGUCGCAGCUAACGCAUUAAGCGCCCCGCCUGGGGAGUACGGCCGCAAGGCUA
Molecule: ribosomal RNA, 846 nt
Filed under: uncultured Chloroflexota bacterium
Lineage: Bacteria; Bacillati; Chloroflexota
Description: bacterial SSU rRNA
Rfam family: Bacterial small subunit ribosomal RNA
Source: RNAcentral